Molecule: transfer RNA, 69 nt
Filed under: Ictidomys tridecemlineatus (thirteen-lined ground squirrel)
Lineage: Eukaryota; Metazoa; Chordata; Mammalia; Rodentia; Sciuridae
Description: Spermophilus tridecemlineatus (thirteen-lined ground squirrel) tRNA
Rfam family: tRNA
About the family: Transfer RNA (tRNA) molecules are approximately 80 nucleotides in length. Their secondary structure includes four short double-helical elements and three loops (D, anti-codon, and T loops).
Source: Rfam by way of RNAcentral
GGGAUUGUGGCUCAGCGGUAGAGCGCUCGCCUAGCAUAUGUGAGGCCCUGAGUUCGAUCCUCAGCACCA